This is a non-coding RNA of Plectropomus leopardus (leopard coralgrouper), 2729 nucleotides long. Lineage: Eukaryota; Metazoa; Chordata; Actinopteri; Perciformes; Serranidae. The record is from RefSeq and is a predicted model, not a curated record.
CGAGCGCUCUCGGCAGCCAUUUUCCUAAAACAGGACUCAAUGGCCUAUAUGGGUUUCCUUUGUUCCAAAAGGGAUCUUACACUUGAUUUCCUCAUCUCUCACGGACUAUGAUAAAACUAUGAUUCCUCCUUUUAAAGGAUUGAGAAGAAGGAAGAGAAUGUACUGGAUGUAAUACCCUGUGACAUCUUGAGCCUUUUUUCCUCUGCUUGGAAUCCAUCUUUGUCUUAACUAGGUCACGGCACACCCAUAUAAUAGUAUUUAUAUUUCUUAAGUGAAAAGAAAACAAAUGUUGUGAAUAAACAGCUGUAUGAUUUUGGAGAUGUUAAAUUAAGGGGGGAGGGGGACACAGUUGAAGUGACAAAGUGUAAUGACUUAUUGUUGGCAUUGCACUUAUGGCCUUGUAGGAUAUGAGUAGCAAUGACAACGCUUUACACCCUGGUGGCUUGUGUUGUACCUUACCUACAACUGUGGAGACAACUUCAAGCACGAUUAGGUUUGUGCUGUCCAAUUGCCAUUUAAGAAAUGCGUCCAAAGUGUAAUCGUCCGGCUUGACCUUGCUUCAAGGGCAUAUUUAAAUGUCGCAAGAAGCCAACUCUGAUAGCCUUUUUUUUUUUUUUUAAAAACAUUUUUUCAACGUUAAAAAAAAAAAAAAAAAAAGACUGCCAAGAGGAAACAGAUGGAGGGAAAACUCUUAUGGUGAAAAUAUUUACCUCAGCACUUUGGUGAAAUGCAGUUAACAGGCCCAAAUGCAGGGGCAGGAGGAAUGUUUUCAGCUCCAUGUUCGGAUCCUCUAAUAAUGGCAUUAUUAAGGGGUGGGAUAGCGUCUCCUGCAAAGAAAGGAAUCCAUUAGCACGAAAGAUAGAGCUCUUUUGAAAAAGUUUUUUUUUUCUUUUGAUCAGUGCUAGGCAUUGCCUCUCUGCCAGCGAAUAUGCAUCUUCAAGCAUCAUCUGUGUGGGCAAUAUGCAAACCAUCUCCUCUCUCUCCUUGAAGACAGGAUUGCAGUCAAGUAUAACCUCGACAUUUCUAACUGAGCUACAUCAUAUAAACCACAAGGAAAUGUUGUUUUGAAAGACAAAGGAGAGCACCGUGCUGUAAAAUGUUGCUGCGCCAUAACUGGGAGAGGCUCGGUGAGAGAGAGAGAAAGACUCGUUUUCGGGGACAUUUUCUCGGUGAUACAACAGGAAAUAUUAACACCUACCGACACAUGGGUGGAUUUUACUCUUUUAACAAGAAUAAAACAGAAGAAAACAAGUGCGUGAAAGGAAGGAAACGAUAAUAAAUGGCGAGUUCAAGCUGUCGGUUGCUGGGCUGACUCGCCCUGGCAACAGCAGUAAUUCGAGAACUCUGGACGGUUGCCAUGAGAGCUCGAGCGUUCUUGUUGCAACCCCCACACUACCAUAUAAGGUCAUCAGGAAUCCUCUGCAGCAGCCCUGUUGUUCUGUUCAUGGGUGAAAAUAACACUGGGGGUGCUUCGGGCUUCCGCGCGUGCUCUCUGGCUCGAGACAAAGAACGGCGGAUCACUUGCACUCUUGUGUGCUUCAGAUAAGAUAAAAACUACCAAGAUUCGGUUAUAUAUUUUGUUCCGUUGGUGAGUUAAAAAUAGAGCUGGCGGUGGUGUUAUUUUGCGUUCAGGUUGGUCACUAUAGUGCCAGCAACACUCCUUUUUUUUUCCUUAUGUGAGCAUUUUUGUUAUGAGAGCACACAAACUCGGUGUGUCAGAGGCCUGUUUUUCUUGUUAUCCAGCUCGCGCGUUCUUCCACUUGCAGGUCACGAGGCUGCAUUCCUUUCAGUCCAACCCUGCUUUCUAACCCCCCAACCCCACCCUCAGGAGUGCAAUGGGGACAAAACUGUGCAGAAGGUUUUAUGUAUGUAAAAAAGGUUAAUUCUUUUUUUUUUUUGCGAUUAAAUCCGCCAAUGAGGUUAUUUAUAGGCCUUUGUUAGACAAAAAAAAAAAAAAAAAAUCCCCGGUGGGUUGCGCCAUUCAGCUUUUGCGCGCCGCUGACAGACUGGAAUAUUCCACACAGAGGAUUGGCCUCUCUUCAACAGGACAGCUGUCUCUCUCUGCACGGCGAAAAAAAAAACUAUUUUUGACUAUUCUUUGUUUGUUAAUUUAAUGAAAAGGGGCUGUGCACGUAUGGAUAUUUUGUACACCUUCAGGACAAUUUAAUAUCCUUUAUAGGCAACGGUAUUCAUAUGUUAGGCUGCCAGUUUCACCCUGUAAGUUUAACAAGCACUCUUUUAUUAUUAUAGGCAUUUUUCAUAGCAUGUACUACACUAUACUGUGUUGUAGAAGCAUAUGGAGCACAUGAGAAUUGCGUAUGGCUAUUUUUGUGAAGUCAGAAUAACCAGGCAGCCAGGCAAACCCUUUCUUCCUUUAUGUGUUCAGCCUUUUAUUUUGACGAUUUGUUCACUGAAAAAAAGGUAUCCUCAGUGAAUUGUGUUUUUAUGGGUACACUGACUUACUGAAAAAAAAUUCAUGCAUAUUUCUGGUACCGUAAUGAUGUUCUUAACCCUUGCUUUUCUUCUUUCUAGCCCUCUGAUAUUUGCAUGUUCAUUUUUAGUGUAAUAAUCUACAGUGUGGUUUGUGAGUUUUUUCUACUUGGUAAUAUUAUCAUCUGUCUGUGUUUAUGAGAUGUUAAAUAAAUAGACUAUACAAUCAUUUCAUGUUUUGUUGUUUUGGAAUCUGAAUAGGUUGUUGUUUUCUGCUGAACUUGGAUUGCAAUUUUAAA